AUACGGAGGGUGCGAGCGUUAAUCGGAAUUACUGGGCGUAAAGCGUACGUAGGCGGUUGGUUAAGUUAGAUGUGAAAGCCCCGGGCUUAACCUGGGAACUGCAUUUAAAACUGGCGAACUAGAGUUGAGUAGAGGGGAGUGGAAUUUCAGGUGUAGCGGUGAAAUGCGUAGAGAUCAGAAGGAACACCAGUGGCGAAGGCGACUCCCUGGACUCGAACUGACGCUGAGGUACGAAAGCGUGGGUAGCAAACGGGAUUAGAAACCCCGGUAGUCC
Molecule: ribosomal RNA, 274 nt
Filed under: uncultured bacterium
Lineage: Bacteria
Description: partial 16S ribosomal RNA
Rfam family: Bacterial small subunit ribosomal RNA
Source: RNAcentral